UAGUAGUGGGUGCCGAACAUGCUACCUCCUGGACAUAUUCCCUUCUGGACAUUUCCCCCUCCGGACAUUUUCUACACAAUUAUCCACAUAAUAAGAACGAAAUAAUAAAUAAAUGAAUAGUAAAACAGACUACUAAAGAUAAGGAACAUAUAAUAAAAAAGAAAUAUGAGAAGUAAGAAAAAAAGAGGGAAACCGAGGAAGUUUUCGGAUGUUCUGUGCGCGUUCCCGAGGCCCUUCGACUUUCCAUCCCAGAAACGAUAAACGCGGUGAGUAGCGCAUUCACAGCAUUUAAAAUUAAUUUAAUAAUCCAGUCUGGUAGUUUUAAGAAGCGAGUUCUUGCAUUUGCCCUCCCCGAGCCUCGGCGGGGAUAAGGAGCGCCAGCGAGCCGAAGGUCUCCCUGGCGUGCGUGGCAGUACUGGAGGGCUCCCCGAAGGGCACCUUGGUGUUCCCCGGGGCGUCCGCGGAGGUACCGGAGAUCUGCACGGGUAGAUGGGGCUCGUUAGCCGUGGUAGGCAGUCCAUCUAGGAGAGCAAACUCCGAACAAUAUACCCGGGCAGGUGAGGCUCGUUAGCCGUGGUAGGCAAUUCGCCUAGGAGAGCAAACUCCGAAAAAUAAACCCGGGCAGGUGGAGGUCGUUAGCGUGAGCAGUUCACCUAGGAGAGAAAACUCCGAUCACAAACCCGGGCAGGUGGAGGUCGUUAGCGUGAGCAGUUCACCUAGGAGAAGGAAAACUCUGACCACAAACACGGGCAGGUGGAAGUCGUUAGCCGUGGUAGGCAAUCUGCCUAGGAGAGCAAACUCCGAACAACAAACCCGGGCAGGUGGAGGUCGUUAGCCGUGGUAGGCAGUCUGCCUAGGAGAGGGACAACUCCGAACAACAAACACGGGCAGGUUGGGCUCGUGAGCCGUCAUAGGCAAUACACCUAGGAGAGCAAACUCCGAAUAAAAAACCCGGGCAGGUUGGGCUCGUGAGCCGUCAUAGGCAAUACACCUAGGAGAGCAAACUCCGAAUAAAAAACCCGGGCAGGUUGGGCUCGUGAGCCGUCAUAGGCAAUACACCUAGGAGAGCAAACUCCGAAUAAAAAACCCGGGCAGGUGGAGGUCGUUAGCCGUGGUAGGCAAUUCGCCUAGGAGAGGGACAACUCCGAACAACAAACCCGGGCAGGUGGAGCUCGUUAGCGUGAGCAGUUCACCUAGGAGAGCAAACUCCGAACAAUAAACCGGGCAGGUGGAGGUCGUUAGCGUAAGCAGUUCACCUAGGAGAGCAAACUCCGAUUACAAACCCGGGCAGGUGGAGGUCGUUAGCGUAAGCAGUUCACCUAGGAGAGCAAACUCCGAUUAAAAACCCGGGCAGGUGGAGGUCGUUAGCGUGAGCAGUUCACCUAGGAGAGCAAACUCCGAUUACAAACCCGGGCAGGUGGAGCUCGUCAGCGUGAGCAGUUCACCUAGGAGAGCAAACUCCGAUUACAAACCCGGGCAGGUGGAGCUCGUCAGCGUGAGCAGUUCACCUAGGAGAGCAAACUCCGAACAAUAAACCCGGGCAGGUUGAGCUCGUUAGCCGUGGUAGGUAAUCUGCCUAGGAGAGGGACAACUCCGAACAACAAACCCGGGCAGGUGGAGCUCGUUAGCCAUGGUAGGCAAUUUACCUAGGAGAGGGACAACUCCGAACAACAAACACGGGCAGGUGGAGCUCGUUAGCCGUGGUAGGCAAUUCGCCUAGGAGAGGGACAACUCCAAACAACAAACACGGGCAGGUGGAGCUCGUUAGCGUGAGCAGUUCAUCUAGGAGAGCAAACUCCGAUUACAAACCCGGACAGGUGGAGGUCGUUAGCGUAAGCAGUUCACCUAGGAGAGCAAACUCCGAUUACAAACCCGGACAGGUGGAGGUCGUUAGCGUAAGCAGUUCACCUAGGAGAGCAAACUCCGAUUACAAACCCGGACAGGUGGAGGUCGUUAGCGUAAGCAGUUCAUCUAGGAGAGCAAACUCCGAUUACAAACCCGGGACGGUGGAGGUCGUUAGCCGCGAGGCAGUUCACCUAGGAGAAGGAUAACUCUGACCACAAACCCGGGCAGGAGGGGGUCGUUAGCCGUGGUAGGCAGUCCUCCUAGGAGAAGGAAAACUCCGAAUUCAAACCAACACACACACACACACACACAACCAACUAACCGGGCAGGUGGGGCUCGUUAUAGGCGUCGUAGACAAUCCACCAAGGGGAAUCAACAAAUGAAAGGAUAAUAAAAGCGACCACACGAGAAGAAGAAUAUGAAA
This is a long non-coding RNA of Eriocheir sinensis (Chinese mitten crab), 2269 nucleotides long. RefSeq lists it as uncharacterized. The transcript is spliced from 2 exons. The record is from RefSeq and is a predicted model, not a curated record. NCBI's taxonomy places the organism in Eukaryota, Metazoa, Arthropoda, Malacostraca, Decapoda, Varunidae.